AACGAACGCUGGCGGCAUGCCUAACACAUGCAAGUCGAACGAGACCUUCGGGUCUAGUGGCGCACGGGUGCGUAACGCGUGGGAACCUGCCCUUAGGUUCGGAAUAACUCCCCGAAAGGGGUGCUAAUACCGGAUAAUGUCUUCGGACCAAAGAUUUAUCGCCUUUGGAUGGGCCCGCGUUGGAUUAGCUAGUUGGUAGGGUAAAAGCCUACCAAGGCGACGAUCCAUAGCUGGUCUGAGAGGAUGAUCAGCCACACUGGGACUGAGACACGGCCCAGACUCCCACCGGCAGCCGCAAUGGGGGAAAAUUGGCCAUGGGCCAAAGCCUGAUCCCGCCAUUCCGGGUUGAUUGUUAAGGCCUUAGGGUUGUAAAGCCCCUUUAACCGGGAUGGUAAUGACCGUACCGGGAGAAUAAGCUCCGGCUAACUCCGUG
This 433-nucleotide ribosomal RNA is filed under the name uncultured bacterium. RNAcentral describes it as "partial 16S ribosomal RNA". It matches the Rfam family "Bacterial small subunit ribosomal RNA", at positions 29 to 507 of the family's 1533-position model. The record is from RNAcentral.